GACGAACGCUGGCGGCGUGCCUAAUACAUGCAAGUCGAACGAGAGCGUCCGGUGCUUGCACUGGUCAAUCUAGUGGCGAACGGGUGAGUAACACGUGGGUAACCUGCCCAUCAGAGGGGGAUAACAUCCGGAAACGGAUGCUAAAACCGCAUAGGUCUUCGAGCCGCAUGGCUUGAAGAGGAAAAGAGGCGCAAGCUUCUGCUGAUGGAUGGACCCGCGGUGCAUUAGCUAGUUGGUGAGGUAACGGCUCACCAAGGCCGUGAUGCAUAGCCGACCUGAGAGGGUGAUCGGCCACAUUGGAACUGAGACACGGCCCAAACUCCUACGGGAGGCAGCAGUAGGGAAUCUUCCGCAAAGGACGCAAGUCUGACGGAGCAACGCCGCGUGAGUGAAGAAGGUUUUCGGAUCGUAAAACUCUGUUGUUAGAGAAGAACAAGUGCUAGAGUAACUGUUAGCGCCUUGACGGUAUCUAACCAGAAAGCCACGGCUAACUACGUG
RNAcentral lists this ribosomal RNA (498 nucleotides) under uncultured bacterium. RNAcentral's name for it is "partial 16S ribosomal RNA". It matches the Rfam family "Bacterial small subunit ribosomal RNA", at positions 28 to 507 of the family's 1533-position model. The record is from RNAcentral.